This 27-nucleotide non-coding RNA is filed under the name Rattus norvegicus (Norway rat). Lineage: Eukaryota; Metazoa; Chordata; Mammalia; Rodentia; Muridae. The record is from RNAcentral.
UGUUUCCUAUUCGCACAAAAUCUGCCA